GAUGAACGCUGGCGGCGUGCCUAAUACAUGCAAGUCGAGCGAACAGAUGAGAAGCUUGCUUCUCUGAUGUUAGCGGCGGACGGGUGAGUAACACGUGGGUAACCAACCUAUAAGACUGGGAUAACUCCGGGAAACCGGGGCUAAUACCGGAUAAUAUUUUGAACCGCAUGGUUCAAUAGUGAGAGACGGUUUCGGCUGUCACUUAUAGAUGGACCCGCGCCGUAUUAGCUAGUUGGUAAGGUAACGGCUUACCAAGGCGACGAUGCGUAGCCGACCGGAGAGGGUGAUCGGCCACACUGGAACUAAGACACGGUCCAGACUCCUACGGGAGGCAGCAGUAGGGAAUCUUCUGCAAUGGGCGAAAGCCUGACGGAGCAACGCCGCGUGAGUGAUGAAGGUCUUCGGAUCGUAAAACUCUGUUGUUAGGGAAGAACAAAUUUGUUAGUAACUGAACAAGUCUUGACGGUACCUAACCAGAAAGCCACGGCUAACUACGUGCCAGCCGCCGCAGUAA
This 514-nucleotide ribosomal RNA is filed under the name uncultured bacterium. Its description in RNAcentral is "partial 16S ribosomal RNA". It matches the Rfam family "Bacterial small subunit ribosomal RNA", at positions 28 to 523 of the family's 1533-position model. The record is from RNAcentral.